GGAGGGUGCAAGCGUUGUUCGGAAUUACUGGGCGUAAAGGGCGUGUAGGCGGACCAAGUAGUCGGGUGUGAAAGCCCUGGGCUCAACCCAGGAAGUGCGCCCGAAACCAUUGGUCUAGAGAUUCGGAGGGGAGCGGGGAAUUCCCAGUGUAGAGGUGAAAUUCGUAGAUAUUGGGAGGAACACCGGUGCCGAAGGGGCCGCUCUGGACGAAUACUGACGCUGAGACGCGAAAGCGUGGGUAGCAAACAGGAUUAGAUACCCUGGUAGUCCACGCUGUAAACGAUGUGCACUAGGUGUCGGGGGUAUUGACCCCCUCCGGUGCCCGCCGCUAACGCAUUAAGUGCACCGCCUGGGAAGUACGGUCGCAAGGCUG
Molecule: ribosomal RNA, 373 nt
Filed under: uncultured organism
Description: partial 16S ribosomal RNA
Rfam family: Bacterial small subunit ribosomal RNA
Source: RNAcentral